GACGAACGCUGGCGGCGUGCUUAACACAUGCAAGUCGAACGGAAAGGCCUGCUUUCCCUUGUGGAUUGCGGGUACUCGAGUGGCGAACGGGUGAGUAACACGUGAGUGAUCUGCCCCCAACUUGGGUAUAAGCCUGGGAAACUGGGUCUAAUUCCCGAUAGGACUGCAGGGUGGUGCCUGUGGUGGAAAACGAUUUUCUAGUGGUUGGGGAUGAGCUCGCGGCCUAUCAGCUUGUUGGUGGGGUAAUGGCCUACCAAGGCGGCGACGGGUAGCCGGCCUGAGAGGGUGGACGGCCACAUUGGGACUGAGAUACGGCCCAGACUCCUACGGGAGGCAGCAGUGGGGAAUAUUGCACAAUGGGCGGAAGCCUGAUGCAGCGACGCCGCAUGGGGGAUGACGGCCUUCGGGUUGUAAACUCCUUUCGACCGCGAGGAAGCCACCUGGUUGGAAGGGUGGUGACGGUAGUGGUAGAAGAAGCACCGGCUAACUACGUG
Molecule: ribosomal RNA, 494 nt
Filed under: uncultured bacterium
Lineage: Bacteria
Description: partial 16S ribosomal RNA
Rfam family: Bacterial small subunit ribosomal RNA
Source: RNAcentral